CGGUUGAUCCUGCCGGAGAUCACCGCUAUUGGAAUCCGAUUAAGGCAUGCGAGUCGAGACGGCUGGAGCUGUCGGCGCAGCGCUCAGUAACACGUAGACAAUCUGCCCUUAGGUGGGGGAUAAACUCGAGAAAUUGAGUAUAAUACCCCAUAGUUCUAGAAUGCUGGAAUGCUUCUAGAACGAAAGCCCCGGCGCCUAAGGAUGAGUCUGCGGCCUAUCAGGUUGUAGUGAGUGUAACGGACUCACUAACCUACGACGGGUACGGGUCCUGGAAGGGAGCGCCCGGAGAUGGACUCUGAGACAAGAGUCCAGGCCCUACGGGGCGCAGCAGCCACGAAAACUUCACAAUGCGGGAAACCGCGAUGAGGGAAUUCCAAGUGCUAAUACUUUGUAUUAGCUGUUUACCUGCCUAAAAAGCAGGUAGAGUAAGGGCUGGGUAAGACUGGUGCCAGCCGCCGCGGUAAUACCAGCAGCCCAAGUGGUGAUCGUUAUUAUUGGGCCUAAAGCGUCCGUAGCCGGUUUGGUAAAUCCUUGGGUAAAUCGGGCAGCUCAACUGUCCGAAUUCCGAGGAGACUGCCAAACUUGGGACCGGGAGAGGUCAGAGGUACUCCUAGGGUAGAGGUGAAAUUCUGUAAUCCUAGGAGGACCACCAGUGGCGAAGGCGUCUGACCAGAACGGGUCCGACGGUAAGGGACGAAACCCUGGGGCGCGAACCGGAUUAGAUACCCGGGUAGUCCAGGGCGUAAACGCUGCGGGCUUGGUGUUGGGGGUCCUACGAGGGCGCCCAGUGCCGGAGAGAAGUUGUUAAGCCCGCCGCCUGGGGAGUACGGUCGCAAGACUGAAACUUAAAGGAAUUGGCGGGGGAGCAC
RNAcentral lists this ribosomal RNA (869 nucleotides) under uncultured archaeon. RNAcentral describes it as "bacterial SSU rRNA". It matches the Rfam family "Archaeal small subunit ribosomal RNA", at positions 5 to 879 of the family's 1478-position model. The record is from RNAcentral.